GACGAACGCUGGCGGCGUGCCUAAUACAUGCAAGUAGAACGCUGAAGGAGGAGCUUGCUUCUCCGGAUGAGUUGCGAACGGGUGAGUAACGCGUAGGUAACCUGCCUGGUAGCGGGGGAUAACUAUUGGAAACGAUAGCUAAUACCGCAUAACAGUAGAUAUCGCAUGAUAUCUGCUUGAAAGGUGCAAUUGCAUCACUACCAGAUGGACCUGCGUUGUAUUAGCUAGUUGGUGAGGUAACGGCUCACCAAGGCGACGAUACAUAGCCGACCUGAGAGGGGGAUCGGCCACACUGGGACUGAGACACGGCCCAGACUCCUACGGGAGGCAGCAGUAGGGAAUCUUCGGCAAUGGACGGAAGUCUGACCGAGCAACGCCGCGUGAGUGAAGAAGGUUUUCGGAUCGUAAAGCUCUGUUGUAAGGGAAGAACGAGUGUGAGAGUGGAAAGUUCACACUGUGACGGUAUCUUACCAGAAAGGGACGGCUAACUACGUG
This 495-nucleotide ribosomal RNA is filed under the name uncultured bacterium. RNAcentral describes it as "partial 16S ribosomal RNA". It matches the Rfam family "Bacterial small subunit ribosomal RNA", at positions 28 to 507 of the family's 1533-position model. The record is from RNAcentral.